Lolium rigidum is the source of this 2638-nucleotide long non-coding RNA. RefSeq lists it as uncharacterized. Lineage: Eukaryota; Viridiplantae; Streptophyta; Magnoliopsida; Poales; Poaceae. The record is from RefSeq and is a predicted model, not a curated record. The transcript is spliced from 2 exons.
AAUGGUAAGAUAGAGGAGUACCGUGCAUGCCUGGGUUGUGGGAAACACUCGCCGACAUCCAGAUUGGUUGGUACUCUUGUUGGUGUUGCGCUGCAACGUUCCCUUUAAGCUAUGUCUGAGGCGUUCUCUGUGGUGAGGGAAACAACAAGGAGGAGACGUUGAUGUUCAGGGUAUACCAGAUUCGCUUUGUUAUGGUGGAGAUUUAAUGCUGCACCAUGCUGAGUACUGCCCUCCUUGCAACUUAGAAAAACGUUUGUUGGUUAUUUUGCAAUUUACAAAAUCUGUAUUAGCUUCCACUUGCUUGUAUAAAUUUGACUUUUACUACCUCCUAUCCGUUUUAAUCGGCACGGAUACCACGCACUACAUGCUUGCGAUCUUCACAACUCCGCGUCGAUUUAGUCAGAUCGAAGGGAGUAGUUUUGCAAUAUGCUUCAGUUUUUACAGUAUGCGGGUACCACCUAAAAUAUGUUUUUUUUGUUUUGUGUAUUCAGGCUUAACAAUAUUCAGUAGCAUGGUUAAUACUAUUUCCUGUUUUUUCAAGUUUUUUGUGUUCAUGCUUAGUAAUAUUCAGUAACAUGAGGCAUUAUUCACCAAGUCUACAUGCCAAAAAAUUACUGGGCUGUUAGAUGACAUGCUUCGUAAUAGUAGAACAAUCGGUGUGUGCAAUCCAUGGUUAACCAAAGCGUGCCUAGGUGCUAGGAAACAACAAAUUGCCUACCGCUUUCAUACAUUGUCAACUUACUUUUUCUUAGAGAAUGGUAGCUGCGGUACUUUAGUGUUCAAGUAGUAAGGGAAAUAAAUUGGCUGGCAAUUUUCCUUUCCUUUUCCCCCUCCAUUCUCCAUGUUGCACACAUUAGGGCAUACUUCAGUCCCGGACUCCUGGAUUUCAAAUAUUUAUUCACUGUUGCUUCUGUAUAAGGUUGUCAUGUUAGUUGAGCUAUCAGGUACUGCCAUCACAUGCAUAAUGAAGUUACUGCUAGCUAAGUUAGUUAUAGUACAGACACAACUGAAUAGUGAUACCAUCAAUCUCCCUAGACUGAGCUUUGUUGGCCACUCCCAACUUAUUCAUCAUAUCCAGCUUAACUUGAUUGAUUGUUGAUUUUAUGAUCCGAACCUUGACAAUACGUAGUAAGAGUUUCCUUGUGCCUCUACACUUCUCGAUUCACUCAGUGCAAAGAAUAUGCUAUCGUCUUUGAAGAGGAGAUGGGAAAUAGUUGGGUGUGCACAACUGUUACGAACUCCUUGUAGAACCCCCAUAGGCUCCUUGAGAAAUAGUACUUAGUAGCCGUCUCAUGCUGGUGAAAAUACAUGGACCACAAAGUCCAUCAUAGAUUUCUAGGUGCUUUCUUGUUCAUGAUGCCCGCGCUUCCGCUGCUACAUCUGUUCCAGAGAUUACAUUUUCCUCCAACCUACGACUAAUUAUAUCAUGUUGGGAGUAUCACAAAUUAGUGCGUGGUGUUUCUGAACCUGAAAGAUAAAUAUAUCUGGUUAGAUACCCUGCUUAUAUCCUAAAACUUGAUGGUAUGUUGUAGGUCCACAAAAAAGUCUGAUUAAACGAUGGCUCGAAAAAUCCUGUUUUGCUGAUAGUUUUUUCUCCAUAUGACUCUGAUAUGUGCUGGUGAUAUACAUUACGGACAGCUUCAUUUUUUAAGUCUAGAUCUAAAUAAACUAUCAAUGUUCCUCAUUUAACAUGUCUACGAGCUAAGCAACUUUAUAAAUUGUGUUGUGCUGAUAAUAUUUUAUUAGUCAUUAUGGAGGUAGCGUGGAGAACGGUUGUCUGUGCUCACCUGGAAUUGUAGCAUUGUUCUCAGCAUGUGUUAUAGGUACUGUGUCCCAUUACCUUCUUUGCAUCCAGUUGCAACAAAAGAAACGCAUCUGCUACGACUUUCUACCGGUUGACCAAUGAUCCGGAUGAGAAACACUAUUAUCCCUGUCUCAGUCAUUCCUAUGAAUCAAGAGAAGGGUUAUAUCUGAUUAAGUAUCACUACUAGAAAAGGAGGCAACAAGGGCAUGUUUCUAAAGUGGUUCAGGCAAGCAACAGAUCAAACAUUUGUUAUCAAGGUAACCUUUUUUGGAUGGUUAAUGGACUUGUUAAUUGCUAUUUAAAGUACUGGAUUUGUGCAUUGGUUUGCCUGAUUCUCAAAUUUUGUAGGUACAUGGUUAAACUAUUCUCAGUGAUGUAUCCCAUUUAAUGUGAUAACUAAGUUUUCAGGAUCUUAGUCUAAGCACCUCUGCGAUAUGACCAUAACAUCUGAUGUGUUGUCAGGUCCAUUUGGCUUAUUUUGCUUUGGUCACUGAUGUUGAAUUCAAUAAUGACCAAAGAGAAGUUCUUGCUAAAAAAAGGUGUACUAGAGGAGCUCUACAUGUGGAACUGUCUACCCCCACUGGGACCUCAAUUUACUCUUGGCCGCAAUUCAGUGUGGUACCCACGGACUGAGUUAUGUUUGUGUUUGGCGCUAAAAUUCGGACUUUUUACAUGUACACAUAUAUUACACAUAGUAAGCUAAGAUUCUCGAUCUAGGCUGCAAUGGUGGAUGCAUCCCAUUGCUUUUACCUAUUUCUUUCAAACCGCAUUAGCCACAAUUUCAAUAUUGUAACUUUGAUUUAUGAAAUUUUGGAGGUUGCUGACAUUUCUUAA